RNAcentral lists this ribosomal RNA (773 nucleotides) under uncultured Neocallimastigales. RNAcentral describes it as "partial large subunit ribosomal RNA". It matches the Rfam family "Eukaryotic large subunit ribosomal RNA", at positions 24 to 642 of the family's 3401-position model. The record is from RNAcentral. Lineage: Eukaryota; Fungi; Neocallimastigomycota; Neocallimastigomycetes; Neocallimastigales.
UAUCUCUGUAGAGUCUGCAUAUCAAUAAGCGGAGGAAAAGAAACUAACAAGGAUUCCCCUAGUAACGGCGUGUGAAGCGGGAAGAGCUCAAAUUUGAAAUCUUCAAGGUUUGACCUUGACGAAUUGUAGUUUAAAGAAGUGUUUUCGGUUAGAGGAGUAGUAAAAGUUCUUUGGAAUAGGACAUCAUAGAGGGUGAGAAUCCCGUAUUUGACUAUUCUUUCUAGCUUUGUGAUACACUUUCAAAGAGUCGGAUUGUUUGGGAAUGCAGUCCAAAAUGGGUGGUAAAUUUCAUCUAAAGCUAAAUAUUGGCGAGAGACCGAUAGCGAACAAGUACCGUGAGGGAAAGAUGAAAAGAACUUUGAAAGAGAGUUAAACAGUACGUGAAAUUGUCAAAAGGGAAGCGUUUGACACCAGUGUUGUUUUUCCGAAAAUCAAUUAAAAAUUGAUUCAUGCCAGGUUGUAUUGACCUUAUCAGCUUGCAAUUUGGUUUUGGGUCUCUUUUUGAUGCACUUUUCGGUUAACAAGUCAACAUCAAUUUCCUUUGCUGUAAAAAGGUAAGAGGAAGGUGGCUUCAAUUUCGGUUGAAGUGUUUAUAGCCUUUUAUCUCUGCAGUCGGGGAGAUUGAGGUUUGCAGCGUAGAUCCUUCGGGGUUAGAUACAUUUGUGCUAAGUUGUAGCUUUUCAUAGACAACUUGUUGACUAUGUUUAGUCAUGUAGCUUACUCGUAAGUGCUAUUUUACCUACGCUUAGGAUGUUGAAGACUCUACAGAGAUA